Molecule: long non-coding RNA, 1886 nt
Filed under: Sus scrofa (pig)
Lineage: Eukaryota; Metazoa; Chordata; Mammalia; Artiodactyla; Suidae
Description: lncRNA (ENSSSCG00025014474.1)
Source: RNAcentral
CCCAACUUUAUCCUCUCUCUUUUCAGAGCCUGGGAGGGGCUCAGAUCUGGUAGAAAUAAAGACAAAGGAGGGGCUGGAGACAUUUCUGCAACAAAGCGAAUGCGGAUGCCUAGUGAGACUGUGGGCAUCUUCCAGUUACACCCUCAACAACUAUAGCAUCUACGGGACCCGCCCCCACCACCUCCCCAUUGGACUUUUGUCCCCCACCAGCCUUGAUAGAUUACAAGUUCCCACAACAGGGACUGUUUCUUCCUCUCGGCUUUGUUUGGAGCAUUGUUCUAGCAAGGCUCAAAUAAGGGGCCAUUAUUAAUAGUGAUAAUAAUGCAACGCUCUUUUCUCAAGGGCCUGACAGACCAACAGCAUGCUGCUUCCUGCCGCCUCUCGCUGGCGGUUUUCACCUACGAACCCUCAGCUGCCCGGGCAACAGCACCCAGCAUGCCCUCUACAUCAUGCUGCCUGAAUGCCAUCUCAUCAGAUUCUCCAGGGCCCCGAACACUGGGCGGAGGCCCGGCAGAGGACGGACGAGACAGCCACGGGAGACACAGCAGGCCAAGGAGAUAAUGGGCCCCAGGAGGUCACGAGCUCCCGCUGUGGACAGAGUUCAACUCCAGAGCCAGUGUGGAAACAAAGAUGCAUGAGCCUACAUCUGGAACCCUCUUUGAGUCCAAAGAGCAAGAUCACGCAUCUGCCGCGCACAACACACAUGGCCGCCACCCUGCUACACCCCAGCCUCCUGCUGACGUCUGUGCGGGAGGCUGUGAUCUGGGGGCAGGACUGUGAAACCACCUUGGUAAGGCUGGUGUGGGGGUGUUGUGGGCCCGGGCAGCUCUCCUUUCCAUACUGCCGUCUUUAUGGGGUCUGCUGGUUGAUGGGCUUUGCUCUCUAAGAUCAGCCGUCUAUUAGAGAAAGCCUCCCAGCGUCUUCUCUGAGGGAAGGUCCUGAUCAGGCUUCUCCAGCAGGACCAGAAGGGAGGGAGUCCCAGCUCCAUCAGGCCACCAGAUCUUUGAGCAGCAGCUUGGAGGGAGCAUAGGGCCCAAGGUGGGGGGGCCUAAUCUAGGCUGGGAUUCUAAUCUAGACUCCCCCUCCUCAGCUCUCUCAGUCCUGACCUCUUCCUCUGCUGCCCGUGUGAUCAAGAGCACAUGGUGACACUGGGACAUGGCUCCUUCUCUGGGACUGUGGACAGGGAAGAGGCACAACCACUUCUACAAUAGGCAAGGGAAGCAAGAAUGGACUGAGGCCCUUGGAAAUCGAUUAAUGGCCCAAAUCCAUGGGAAUUUGCCCACUACUCCAAGAGCUUUCAAACUGGCUCAGGAAAUCUGAUUUUGUUUGACUUUUUUGCCACCAACAUUUACCUGAAUUGGUUGGUGGCUCUGUUUCUUUCUUUCAGUUUUACUCCUUAAAGCUGAACAAAGAAACCCAAAUAGAGAUUCAAAGCCAAGAGUUGCUGCAAUGCUCUCCCAAAAUAGGAGCAGUGAGGGCUGUCAUGGACUGGCCAUUCUUCAGUCCCUGCGGACACUGAACUAUUCCAAGUAUGUCCCAGGGUACCAUCCUGGGUGGGGUGAUGCUUAGGCAGGACUGGUACUGUAGGGUACUGACUGGAAGGCCCUGGACCAGACCCUUCCCAUCUGGCCCAUCCUCAGAAUAAGGGUCUUGGCUUCACUUGCCUUUGAAUCCUCUUCUAGCCUGCAGAUAUCACAACCCCUCCACCCUUCCAUGUCCUUGGUCACCAAAGGGGGGUUUUAAUGCAGCACGACGGGCCAGGCAAGAGGCAAUGAGCAUCACAGACCCAGUUCCUCCCUGAUGGAACCUCCCCCCCAAGUCCUCGUCCUUCCUGAUGAUUCAUGAGCUUCAUUUAUUUUUUAUUUUAUUAUUUAUUUAGUCAUUUU